RNAcentral lists this ribosomal RNA (465 nucleotides) under uncultured bacterium. RNAcentral describes it as "partial 16S ribosomal RNA". It matches the Rfam family "Bacterial small subunit ribosomal RNA", at positions 31 to 507 of the family's 1533-position model. The record is from RNAcentral.
GAACGCUGGCGGCGUGCUUAACACAUGCAAGUCGAACGGAAAGGCCCUGCUCUUGUGGGGUGCUCGAGUGGCGAACGGGUGAGUAACACGUGAGUAACCUGCCCUUGACUUUGGGAUAACUUCAGGAAACUGGGGCUAAUACCGGACAGGAGCCCCUGCUGCAUGGUGGGGGUUGGAAAGUCUCGGCGGUUGGGGAGGGACUCGCGGCUUAUCAGCCUGUUGGUGGGGUAGUGGCUUACCAAGGCGUUGACGGGUAGCCGGCCUGAGAGGGAGACCGGCCACAUUGGGACUGAGCUACGGCCCAGACUCCUACGGGAAGCAGCAGUGGGGAAUAUUGCACAAUGGGCUGAAGCCGGAUGCAGCAACGCCGCGUGCGGGAUGACGGCCUUCGGGUUGUAAACCGCUUUCGCCUGUGACGAAGCGUGAGUGACGGUAAUGGGUAAAGAAGCACCGGCUAACUACGUG